CCUACGGGAGGCAGCAGUGGGGAAUUUUGGACAAUGGACGCAAGUCUGAUCCAGCCAUUCCGCGUGCAGGACGAAGGCCUUCGGGUUGUAAACUGCUUUUGUACAGAACGAAAAGGUUUCUCUUAAUACGAGGGGCUCAUGACGGUACUGUAAGAAUAAGCACCGGCUAACUACGUGCCAGCAGCCGCGGUAAUACGUAGGGUGCAAGCGUUAAUCGGAAUUACUGGGCGUAAAGCGUGCGCAGGCGGUUAUAUAAGACAGAUGUGAAAUCCCCGGGCUCAACCUGGGAACUGCAUUUGUGACUGUAUAGCUGGAGUACGGUAGAGGGGGAUGGAAUUCCGCGUGUAGCAGUGAAAUGCGUAGAUAUGCGGAGGAACACCGAUGGCGAGGGCAAUCCCCUGGACCUGUACUGACGCUCAUGCACGAAAGCGUGGGGAGCAAACAGGAUUAGAUACCCUGGUAGUCCACGCCCUAAACGAUGUCAACUGGUUGUUGGGUCUUCACUGACUCAGUAACGAAGCUAACGCGNGAGUGACGCGNGGNGAGCGCGAGUGAGACGAAGAGUAGAGNGNGAGAGNGCGAGACGACGACGAGGGAGGAGG
This 602-nucleotide ribosomal RNA is filed under the name uncultured bacterium. Its description in RNAcentral is "bacterial SSU rRNA". The stretch from base 1 to 539 matches the Rfam family "Bacterial small subunit ribosomal RNA", at positions 338 to 873 of the family's 1533-position model. The record is from RNAcentral.